RNAcentral lists this ribosomal RNA (301 nucleotides) under uncultured bacterium. Its description in RNAcentral is "partial 16S ribosomal RNA". It matches the Rfam family "Bacterial small subunit ribosomal RNA", at positions 509 to 809 of the family's 1533-position model. The record is from RNAcentral.
CAGUCGCCGCGGUAAUACGUAGGUGGCAAGCGUUGUCCGGAAUUGUUGGGCGUAAAGCGCGCGCAGGUGGAUCAGUCAGUCUGUCUUAAAAGUUCGGGGCUUAACCCCGUGAGGGGAUGGAAACUGCUGAUCUAGAGUAUCGGAGAGGAAAGUGGAAUUCCUAGUGUAGCGGUGAAAUGCGUAGAUAUUAGGAAGAACACCAGUGGCGAAGGCGACUUUCUGGACGAAAACUGACGCUGAGGCGCGAAAGCCAGGGGAGCGAACGGGAUUAGAUACCCGUGUAGUCCCUGUCUCUUAUACA